GAUAAACGCUGGCGGCGCACAUAAGACAUGCAAGUUGAACGGACUUAAUCGAAAUAUUUAUAUUUUGAAGCGGUUAGUGGCGGACUGGUGAGUAACGCGUAAGGAACCUGCCUAUUAGAGGGGAAUAACAGUGAGAAAUCAUUGCUAAUACCGCAUAUGCCAUAGAUAUCACAUGAUAACAGUGGGAAAGGAGCAAUCCGCUAAUAGAUGGCCUUGCGUCUGAUUAGAUAGUUGGUGGGGUAACGGCCUACCAAGUCGACGAUCAGUAGCCGGACUGAGAGGUUGAACGGCCACAUUGGGACUGAGAUACGGCCCAGACUCCUACGGGAGGCAGCAGUCGGGAAUAUUGCGCAAUGGAGGAAACUCUGACGCAGUGACGCCGCGGAUAGGAAGAAGGUUUUCGGAUUGUAAACUAUUGUCGUUAGGGAAGAGAAAGGACAGUACCUAAGGAGGAAGCUCCGGCUAACUACGUG
RNAcentral lists this ribosomal RNA (473 nucleotides) under uncultured bacterium. Its description in RNAcentral is "partial 16S ribosomal RNA". It matches the Rfam family "Bacterial small subunit ribosomal RNA", at positions 28 to 507 of the family's 1533-position model. The record is from RNAcentral.